RNAcentral lists this ribosomal RNA (470 nucleotides) under uncultured bacterium. RNAcentral's name for it is "bacterial SSU rRNA". It matches the Rfam family "Bacterial small subunit ribosomal RNA", at positions 28 to 507 of the family's 1533-position model. The record is from RNAcentral.
GACGAACGCUGGCGGCGUGCCUAAUACAUGCAAGUCGAACGAGGCCCUUUGUAUUCGUACGAAGGUGUCCUAGUGGCGAACGGGUGAGUAACACGUAGGUGACCUGCCCCGAAGAGGGGAACAACCCCGGGAAACUGGGGCUAAUACCCCAUAACCUCCUUGGAGUUAGAGGACCUUGGAGAAAAAGGAGCAAUCCGCUUUGGGAGGGGCCUGCGGCCCAUCAGCUAGUUGGUAGGGUAACGGCCUACCAAGGCGAUGACGGGUAGGGGACCUGAGAGGGUGGUCCCCCACAAUGGUACUGAAACACGGACCAUACGACUACGGUCGGCAGCAGUAGGGAAUAUUGCACAAUGGGCGAAAGCCUGAUGCAGCAACGCCGCGUGCGCGAUGAAGGCCUUCGGGUUGUAAAGCGCUUUUCUGGGGGAAGAGAGAGGACGGUACCCCAGGAAUAAGUCUCGGCUAACUACGUG